GGAAGAGUGGGUGAGAUGGCUGAAACCAAUCGGUUGCUAACUGAUCUUACGUGGAAACAUGUAACGUGGGUUCGAAUCCCACCUCUUCCGCCA
This 93-nucleotide transfer RNA is filed under the name Candidatus Pelagibacter sp. Its description in RNAcentral is "tRNA-Ser". It matches the Rfam family "tRNA". Rfam says of the family: Transfer RNA (tRNA) molecules are approximately 80 nucleotides in length. Their secondary structure includes four short double-helical elements and three loops (D, anti-codon, and T loops). Further hydrogen bonds mediate the characteristic L-shaped molecular structure. tRNAs have two regions of fundamental functional importance: the anti-codon, which is responsible for specific mRNA codon recognition, and the 3' end, to which the tRNAs corresponding amino acid is attached (by aminoacyl-tRNA synthetases). tRNAs cope with the degeneracy of the genetic code in two manners: having more than one tRNA (with a specific anti-codon) for a particular amino acid; and 'wobble' base-pairing, i.e. permitting non-standard base-pairing at the 3rd anti-codon position. Lineage: Bacteria; Pseudomonadati; Pseudomonadota; Alphaproteobacteria; Candidatus Pelagibacterales; Candidatus Pelagibacteraceae. The record is from RNAcentral.